Molecule: ribosomal RNA, 492 nt
Filed under: uncultured bacterium
Lineage: Bacteria
Description: partial 16S ribosomal RNA
Rfam family: Bacterial small subunit ribosomal RNA
Source: RNAcentral
AGUGAACGCUGGCGGUAGGCCUAACACAUGCAAGUCGAACGGCAGCACAGUAAGAGCUUGCUCUUACGGGUGGCGAGUGGCGGACGGGUGAGGAAUACAUCGGAAUCUACUUUUUCGUGGGGGAUAACGUAGGGAAACUUACGCUAAUACCGCAUACGACCUACGGGUGAAAGCAGGAGAUCUUCGGACCUUGCGCGAUUGAAUGAGCCGAUGUCGGAUUAGCUAGUUGGCGGGGUAAAGGCCCACCAAGGCGACGAUCCGUAGCUGGUCUGAGAGGAUGAUCAGCCACACUGGAACUGAGACACGGUCCAGACUCCUACGGGAGGCAGCAGUGGGGAAUAUUGGACAAUGGGCGCAAGCCUGAUCCAGCCAUACCGCGUGGGUGAAGAAGGCCUUCGGGUUGUAAAGCCCUUUUGUUGGGAAAGAAAAGCAGCAGGCUAAUACCCCGCUGUUCUUACGGUACCCAAAGAAUAAGCACCGGCUAACUUCGUG